GUCACGCUGUAAACGAUGUCGAUUUGGAGGUUGUUCCCUUGAGGAGUGGCUUCCGGAGCUAACGCGUUAAAUCGACCGCCUGGGGAGUACGGCCGCAAGGUUAAAACUCAAAUGAAUUGACGGGGGCCCGCACAAGCGGUGGAGCGUGUGGUUUAAUUCGAUGCAACGCGAAGAACCUUACCUACUCUUGACAUCCAGAGAACUUAGCAGAGAUGCUUUAGUGCCUUCGGGAACUCUGAGACAGGUGCUGCAUGGCUGUCGUCAGCUCGUGUUGUGAAAUGUUGGGUUAAGUCCCGCAACGAGCGCAACCCUUAUCCUUUGUUGCCAGCACGUUAUGGUGGGAACUCAAAGGAGACUGCCGGUGAUAAACCGGAGGAAGGUGGGGAUGACGUCAAGUCAUCAUGGCCCUUACGAGUAGGGCUACACACGUGCUACAAUGGCGUAUACAAAGAGAAGCGACCUCGCGAGAGCAAGCGGAACUCAUAAAGUACGUCGUAGUCCGGAUUGGAGUCUGCAACUCGACUCCAUGAAGUCGGAAUCGCUAGUAAUCGUAGAUCAGAAUGCUACGGUGAAUACGUUCCCGGGCCUUGUACACACCGCCCGUCACACCAUGGGAGUGGGUUGCAAAAGAAGUAGGUAGCUUAACCUUCGGGAGGGCGCUUACCACUUUGUGAUUCAUGACUGGGGUGAAGUCGUAACAAGGUAACCA
RNAcentral lists this ribosomal RNA (709 nucleotides) under uncultured Providencia sp. RNAcentral describes it as "bacterial SSU rRNA". It matches the Rfam family "Bacterial small subunit ribosomal RNA", at positions 794 to 1502 of the family's 1533-position model. Lineage: Bacteria; Pseudomonadati; Pseudomonadota; Gammaproteobacteria; Enterobacterales; Morganellaceae. The record is from RNAcentral.